GGCCCCUCUAAGAAAAUGUGUAUUUAAAGGAACAGGAAAGUAAUUAUUUAAAAACUUUCAUUUUUAUUUUAUUCAUCUGAGACAUGCACUCCAAACAGAACCAGAAUGCUCUGCUGAGGCAUCUUCAAGACAAGUAUCCUGUACCCAUCAGCUUAGCCCCUUAAACAUACAGGGCUGGGCUUAUGCUGUAGCAACAAUCGCCCCCAAGUCUCAGGGGGUGAUGGAUUCAAAUACUUGCUGUGUAUUAACUUGGACGCUUCUCAUUUUUUUUCUCAUGUGAGGUUCACUGGAGGUCCAGGUGGCCCCCAAGGGCAGUGUCCCCAAGUGGGGGCUCCAUGCGGUGUGGGCCUUGCAGCACUGCUUCUCCCCCCAUCAUCAGAGUGCAGGGCAGAGGGCCCUGGAGCCCCUGAACCUGCCGUGAAAUGCUGCAGUGAAGUGGCACACGAUGCCUCUUUCAUCCAUACCAACCUCUAGAGCGUGUCCCACAGUCCCAUGUAGCUUCAAGGGCACACGGAAGCAUCAUGCUUCUGUUUCUAGAAGUGAAACGCUGGGUGAUCAUUAGUCAAAUCCAUUUCACCCGCAUUCACUAAUCAAGGGCUGGCACGUCCUCCAAGCAGCACGGGGCCUGAACAAUAUGUUUGCCUGGCGUGUUGUUUCCAGGGACUUGGAGCAGCUGUGCCUAGUUCGUCCUGAGCUAGUGAAGACUGGCCGGAACCCUCCAACUAGGCAGGCGCCUGUGUCCCCUUGGCGACCUUUUGAGGUCAAAGGGCUAUAAGCUCCACCCUCAGCUCACGCUAAACACCUUCGUUUUUGAACACGUGUCCCGUGAAGCCCGUGGCUUAGUUACGCCUGCGCAGAAGGAUGAUGAGGCACCUUUCUCCAAUCACCGGUCCCGGCGCUGCCCACGCUCAGCCCGCCCUGCGGCUUUAUUCCCCAACCCAUAAAUAGCCCAGCCCCUGCUGCUUGCAGGGCUCGGGCUGCUUCUCUUGUCUCUGCGCCUGGCUGGUCUUUUUGCUGCAAGUCGCUGGGUCUCGGGGUUUGGGCUUGCUGUGCGCCAGGCAAAGCGAACCUGGUGCCGUAGCAGAAGUGGUGGGAAAUUCGCAGGGGCGGUGAAAGCUUCUCUCGAAUCCUUCUGUCAAAUCUCAAAUUCUUCUCUCAAAUCCUUUCCAAGCCAAAUAACUGCCUGCUAGAGAAGAAUUCCACAGCCACUAGUGGAGAACUGAACUUUAAAAAGUUUUUUUUUUUAAUCUUUCUCUAAAGAGAUGCUAGGGUGGGAGUGAGCCCCUGGGUCGGUCUGUGACUAGAGGCAGGUCUGGGGGCGCCUGGAGGCUGCCCCACAGCACCUCUACCACCAGCUGGAGAGAGGAGGCCAGAGUGUCUGACCCAGUUGCCGCGGGAAUCCCAACUCAACAGCCUCCCUGCCCCCUGCCCGUCGCCAGCUGAGCGACUGGGCGGCCACUCCCAUUUACCUGGGUUUUUGCCUGACUUCCCCAAGUAGGGUUUUUCUUCUCUCUUCCCUGCUCUACCCCUAAUGAGUACCCUUUGAGCGAAUUCUUCAAGCCUCCUUUCUCUGCUGUACCUCCAGGAGGUACCCUUUAAGUGAGCAAAUGCCCUAAGCCUCAGUUUCCCUGCUGUACCCCCAAUAAGCACCCUUUGAAUUUCCUAAGCCUGUUUCUCUGCUGUACCCCUGAUAAGUACCCUAAAAGUGAACGAAUUCCUCAAGUCAGUGUCUCUAUCUCUAGUUAGCGACCUUUAAAUGCGUGACUUCUUCGAGCUUCAGUUCCCCCUCUGCCCUGUGUGUUCUUCUAAAAGUCGCCCUGAGAAAGUGAGUCUUUACAUUUUUGAAAAUGCUUUGCAAAUUAGAGUCCUGUGCAGGGUGUGAGUUUGUGCACACAUGGGGACCAUGAUGAGAAAUCAGCUUGUUUUUCUGCUCCCAACACACAUUUGCUUGGGAAACUUAGAUUGUUUUUCAAGCUCUAUGCCUUUCAGAAGCAACAGUCCACUUCAUACUGAACCCAGCCCUUCCUUUCUUGGAGCUCAACUUUUUACUGAGUGCAAACCCCAGGAAUCUUUCUGCUUCUCUUUUCCCGACUUUCUUGCAUGCCCACUGCUGGUCCUAUCAUGGUGGCAGCAGCGGCUGCAGCAGCGGCUACAGCUGCCCAGGUCAUCAGGGACACAAUGGCACGCUAUUCAAAGGGGAGAGCUCCUUUGCCCCAGCAUGCCCAGCAACAGCUGCUAAAUAGCCUCUUCUGGGGGCGAUAGGCAGGCAGGUCACAGGCCCCAGGGCAAAGCGAGCACUAUGGCCUGGGAUGAAAGGCAUGGAUGGACUGAGCUACAUAACUUGCCUACUUGCUGACCAGACAUGGACUAAGCCCUAGGCAGUGUUGUAGGUAUUGACAAAACAGUAGUGGGACAACUAGAAAUCCCUGUCCCCGUGAACUGGGGGUUGCACUUGGCUGUUUCCUAGGGCUGGCUCAGAUGACGACAAACUUAGCAGCUGAACCAUCACACACUGACCUCUUACAGUUCUGGGGGUCGGGAAUCCAGAAGGGGUCUUACAGGACUAAAAUCAAAGUGUCGGCGAGCCUGUGGUCCCUUUGGAGGUGCUCGGGGAGAAGCUGUUUCCUGGCCUUUUCCGGCCCCUGGAGGCUCCUUGCAUUUCUUGGCUUUGGGGGCCUUCCUCCAUCUUCCAAGCCUGCCCCCUGACUCUUUUCCCCUCCACUCUCAAGGGCCUGGGCUUCCAUUGGGUCCACCUGGAUAAGCCAGGCCAGGCUCCCACUCCCAAGGUCGGCUGAUGAGCAACUUAAACCCCUCAUUGCUAGGGAAGGCGACACAGGUUCUGGGAACUAGCACAUGACGUCUUUGGGUGGGGACUUAAUCUUGCCCACCUCGCUCCCGCACACUCAAACCUCAACCCAUUCCGUGUGUUAACCUCAGUCCUCACACCGCAACUAGUCCCUAUUUGACAUAUGUGGCCCAAGGUAGCAGCGUCUGCCCUGGAAGCCACAGGCUCAAGCUUGCCUAGCACAGCAUCUGACCCAAGCAAGAGAAAGCUCUAGGCGGUGUUACUUCCCAUCACGCCAGCCGUUGGAAUUUCAGCAGUUGUUUAAAAUUAAAGGGCAAUGGGGAAUAAUCUGCAUUUGGAGGUUACUGAGGAGGGAAAGAAUUUGUUCUGCUCCAGUCCUACCUCUAGAACAAACCUGGGCGGGGAGGUUACUUUAAAUCCAUCCAUUUACUUGUUCCUGUGACAAAUACUGAGCACUCAUGCGCCAUGACGGUAUCGCUCUAAGCCUUGUUGUGUCCUAGCUUAUGUAACCUUUACUGCAAUGCUGGGAGGCGGGUGUUCCGAAAAGGUCUCUCCCCUUUUACAGAUGUGGAAACUGAGGCAGAGAGCGAUGAAGUCACCGCUUCUCUCCCUUCACCCACUCUGCUGGCCAUACUACCUCCCUGCCAAGCAUGCAUGUGCAAAGCUCCUGCCUCAGGACCUUUGCACCAGCGGCUCCCUCUGCCUGGAGUGGCUCUUCCCCUCAGUCUCGGCCUGGCUCUUUAUUACCUGUAUGUGUGUUCAUGGGGCUGUUCAGAGACACCUUUCCCAAUGCCUCUGACAUAACUUGCCACGCUCCUAUCACAGUCACUAUUACUGGUUUUAAGACACUGGGUUCCAACUGACGGGAGGCUCCAUAGUUGCUUGUCUUAUGUUCUGUCUCAUGGAGGGCGAGUUCCAUGAACGAGGGCUCAGUAGGAUCUAUUCUAUUCUAACCCCUGUGUCUGACACAUAGCUACUCAGUGCAUGUCUGCAGCAGACAAAGGCUAGGAAGGCCUAGCCCCCAAUGUGACUAUUUGAAGGUGGGGCCUGGGAGAAGCUCUUUAAGAUUAUAAAUGAGGUCAUAAGGGUGGGGCCCUGAUCCGAUAGGACUGGUGUCCCUCUUGGAAGAGGAGACAGCAGAGCCCUCUUCCUCAUGCGCAGAGGGAAGGCCGGCCAUGCUCCUUCUGGAAGGAGUGCCUUGCUCCUGACAUGGGCAGGGUCCCUUGAAGGGAGAAGUUCAAGAUCUCUGACACAGGACACUGGAACCAUGGGGGGGCGGUGUCAUACCUUGAAGACACAGGCCCUGUCUUAGAUGGAGGCAGAAUCACCCAUCUUUGCAAGGAGAGAAGAGGAAACCUGUUCUCAUCUGGGGGCCAACACAGUGGCUGCUCUUUCUCUGGGGCCAGCUGGGGAGUCAGGGUGGGCAAGGCUAGGGAAAAGCGUUUCUCUUGGCUCUCGGGAAAUCUGUCAAAGGGAGACACCCCCCAGUCCAAGGCCUGUUUCACACCUUCUGUCCACACGCCCGCCCCAGCAGAUUUGGCCCCGGCACGGGUGCCUCUAAGGGGGGGGGUAGUAGCUCCAGAGCCAUCCCCACACCCACCAGCGUGACCGUGAGCUCCCCGGACCUCGGUUUCCUCAUCAGCAGAGUGUAAUUCCUCCUCUCCCAAAGUUGCCCUGCAGCCUGUGGUCCGGAUUCAGUCUGGGGCUGUCAGUUUUCUGAACGAAGUGUGCAGGCGGAAGGGACCAUGAAAGGGGAGUUACGGCGCUUAUGCUUGAGGCCCAGCUGUGCCACCUCCUAGCAGGGUGACUGCCUGUAUCUUUGCCAAGACUUUGGUUUCUUCACUGGUAACUUGGAUACUAAUUACAUCUGUCAGUGGUCACUGACUUGCCAUGACACUCAAAUGAAAUUCAUCUCUACUCACGAGACCCUCACCUGUAGACCCGAGACGGCAGUUCCUCACCAACUAGAACGUGUGAACUGAAGCGCAUCCGGAAUCGACGUGGCAUCUCUCCCAGGGUGACACAUACACUUCCCAUCGUGUUCCACUGGCCAGAGGCAGGCACACGGCCACCUUCAAUUCACAGGGUGACAAGGGUCAAUCCUACUAUGUACUCGACCCCAACACUUACCUUGGAAAGGUUGCUUCAUUUCUGUGUCUGUUUCCUCACUUGUAAAAUGAAAACAGAUACAGUACUCUUUUCAGAGCAUUAAUAAGUGCAGUAAAUAAAGUGUUUAGAACGCUGCCCAAAGUCUCGCUGGGAUGCUGACGUUGCUGAUGAUCUGUAUCUGUAACGUAUUGUGUACGUUUCCGAGCUGUCUGCUUUCCUGCCAUUUAAGCAGCUGAAUUUUCAACACUAAUAGAAUAUUUCAUUGUAUUCUGUUGCUUUAGUGUGAAUAUACCUAUGUAAUGUAAUACCAAAUACACACCCAAACCACUUCUGUUUCCAUGAAGACUUUGAGAGUUUUAUUGCCUUUGGCCUGAGGCUACAGCGCGAUUUAUAGCGCAGCUGGUGGGUGCAUGCUAGGUAUUUCCUCAUGUGAGCGACAGGAGAAAGGGGUUUUCAACGGGCCGGGCCGUUUUGGCUCAUGGACUCGGUAGCCCUUGGCGGUCUGAUGUCAGAGGCGAUGUGAAUCGGGGCGCUCAGAUGCUUGAACGGUGACACAGCUGGAAACGAGGAGUCUGUCUUGGCGCCUCUGGAAUAAGUACUGUCGGCUUCUCCGACACUGCAGUCUACUGUGGUUCACUCCGCGAAACCGAGUAUUCAUCCCUGACGAGCACGGGUUUUUGGGAUCUCCUCCCUCGUAGCCACUAAUGUCUAUUGCCCUCUUGAUAAUUAGUCUCUGCAGUAUUAACGGGCAGCUUCAUGCCCAUCCAGCACCCCCCCCCAAGUCCCCAUUGAUGGUGGGUCAUCACUUGGUCGAUACGGUUUUUUUUUUUUUUAAAUAAGCAGCCUUAAUUGAACCCCUAAAAUGUCUUUACUCUGAAUCCAUUAAGGAUAUACUUAUCAAAUUGGAAGUGUAUUACCUCCUUAAAUUACCUUGACAACAAAAUCAAUAGUUUAUUUAACCGGAGUCAAGAAAAAGAAAAGGGGGGAAAAAAUGCCCUGAGGAAUUUGUAAUAUCUUUUACUUGCAAAGAAACAAUGGGGCGGAAAGAAUCGCGGUGUAAAGCAAGGAAUACAAGUGGCUUGGAGAAAUGGGCACCUAAUUUAGUAUUCAUGCCUCUGUGCCUUUUUAUAAGUGACUUCUUACAAGUUUGCUUUUCUGAGCAAGCCUUAGGAAUAAACUACUCCUGACACUUUAACAGUGACAGUGGUUGGAGUUAUCACACGUCUUAUUAACAUUUCCUUCACCAACUAUUUGAGAUCAUUAAAGAAAAACUGGGCUGCUUAUUAAUGCCUCCGCAUUGGAUUCCAGGGGGGAAAGUCUGAUCUAAUUCAGACCCAAGCUCCCUGUGUGCAUUUUGCAUUUCCACUGGCUCAGGAUUUUCUGCCUCAGGUCACAGCUCAAUCUGUACCGAGGAGAAAAUGACAGUUUCCCAUAGUGACAGUCGCAGCCCAGCAUCCUAUAAGACCUGAACCCUCCUAUCAGCUGAUCUGCUGGCACUUUGAAAGUAGCCAAUGGCAGGCAGGAGGUACCUUUCUUCCAGAAAGGCUGUUGGAUUGAGUCUAAAUGCAUGAGAAAACCAGAGGGUUGGUUUCCUUGCCAGCUUCCAAAUCUCUCCCGUGUGCUUCCCUCUUGGGGCUACGCGUACCGGUCCCAGAAGUCCUAGAAUUCUCGAGGUAGGUGAGAACUGGAAUCCUGGUGCUCAUCUCGUCUUGCUCAUUUGUGUACGUUCUCCUCGCCUAUUUCCUGAGCGCUUCUCUAGCGCCUGGCCUUGACCUGGGCUCCGUGGUGACAGUGAACAGGGUGGCUAUGCACUGUCUAGUGUAAUCAGAAGGAAAAAAGAUCAACAAUCACGUAAAACAAGAUCAUUUCAGGUGACAAGUGCCAGGAAGCAAAUAGGACCGAAUAUUGUGCUACAGUCCUAAUAACCAGCAUCCCGAAGCUUCUGGGGCUCCCCUCAUUCCAAAAACCUGAUUCAGAUUUGUUUCACCUGGUGACCUUCCAUAGCUUUCCAAUAUAGCUUCUUUUUUUGGCUGAAGUACACUCUAGAGCCAGUUUCUCCUCUUUGUAACCAAAUGGCUCAAUGGACACAGUCAAUUUAGGAAAUAGUCGGGGUUUCCCUGAUCAGAGCUGCAAGUAAAAUUGAGGUGAAAACAUCACACAAGAGAAAGGUGAGGCCUUUCCUGCUCCUGGGAGAUGCUUGGUUCUGGCUGCACUUCCCGUGUUUGGGGGCAUUUCCCUUCUCUUAGCCACCAUCCCAGCUCCAAUCUGGAAGCUGGAACCUGGCUUUGUCACCCUCUCCUGCAGGGAGAGAGCUGUCACGUAAUCAGACUGCCAGUGGGGCCCCCACGUGGAACUUCCCUAGAAGAGCAGCCGUGAUGUAGAGAAGCAGGGUUGGGUGGUGACUGUCCCGGGGACAGGGGCAUCGUGACUUGUUUUGAAAGGCAGCUGUGACCAAAGUGCUGGAAUCCAGAGCUUGGGGUCCACACUGGACCAGUUUCAGAGUCACUCGGAUGUUACCCUCGGCUGCAUGGACUCCAUGAGGCCUGAUGUACUGUCCCUCCCAGAGAGUCUGGGAGCUUCCCGACAUCGCUCGCUAAAUUCCUUUCCUGCUGAGAGUGGACCCCAGCUGCCCAGACCCCCGACAGAUGUAUCAUCAGAACUUUCUGCUCGACAUGCUCAUCCUCCCCUGUUGGAACACCUGGGGGGCCCUGCAGAGCCAUCACCCAGGUGGGUGACAUGGAGGCGGCUUUCCUUGUCACCUCCCUGCAGCAGCUGACAGACUAACAGAGCCGAAAACGUUGAUUAUUUUUUUGCUUCACAGCAUGAAAACUGGUUUGUAAAUCAAGGGCGCGAGUCCGUCUGUGAACAGGUGCCCACAAAUGCUAAAUGUUCCAAGUUGGUGGACAAGCCCCCCGCCUCCCAGAGGGUUCUAAAGCGUUUCCUGGGGUGGGGGGAGGGCUGGUCCCAUAUGGGGAGACUAUGCCCUGAACCCCAUGAGAAGUGAAGAAGGUUGGGGUUUGGGGGCAGGGGGGAUGAAGAGCUGGGACAAAGAGAAUGAGGCUUCCCCAGCCCCUCCUGAUUGUCCAAGAGCUGCGAUCUUCUGUAGUCCUAGAAUCCCGGAGCUUUAUCUGGUCACUCGGAACACAUUUUGGCUACCCUGGAGGUGCGUGGCCAGAUCACUAAGUUCUGGUCAGGGGACCAUGCGCUUAGGUGCUGUAUUCCAACUCUGGGAGGUACCUUAAGGCGAGAAAGCGUUCCCUUCCCGUCGCUGCUUCCUGGUUCCUGCGUUGAACUAACUUUCCCUUUGCUGGUGUGAGGCGAUAUCAUUUUAAUGCUUGGAAGUCUUUCAUCAUCACUGCCGUGAAAACAUGCAUCAGCUCUAAAAUAGAAAUUUGCACGUGUCUGUGACUGUAACACUCGAGAUAUUUAAUACACGGGUCUAUUGCCGUCGUGAGUAGUGCAGAAUUGAACAAAGCAUAGCUAUUGUGGGCGGAGCGGAUUUUUCAAUUAAUUUGCAUAUUCACGAAUAAAGGGACAAGUUUUAGCAUCGAUGCUAUCCCCCGCCUUUAAAAAUUUUUUUUAGUGUGACAGAUGUAAGCAUGGUGAACUUGAUCAUGUGAAUAGAUGGGCCCUGAAGAGCUUCUGUUACGUCACUCGCCUCUUUUGACUGCCUUCCCCCGAAAUGGGCUGCCUUGCCUUCUGGCUUUCAAGUGAGUUUGCCAGUGGCUGGGAGAACUGUUAGCAAAUCCAGUCUCGAGGUUAACAAGUUCAGAACUCGCAGAUGUUGAUGGAAAGGAAGGGUUCAUCAGAAUGCUGGCCGUCUGGGGAGAGGGUGGACUCAAUGUCCCCCCAAAAACCACCCGCGUAGAUUCUGCUCGGCCAUGAAACGGGAAGGAAGGAGGGAAGUGCUCUGGGAAUGAGACGGGAGUCCGUCGUUGCCAUCCCCGCUGUGUGCAGCGCCCCCACUCCUCCGUCUUCCUCUAGAUGUUCUCGUGCUCAGUUUGCUGGGGAGCCGGGGAAGAGAGCUGGUCAUCUGCUACCUCCUCAAGCGAGGAAAGGUGGUGUGUGAUGGAAAGAUUUGAAAUGUGUGGUUAGGCUGGAGAAAAACUGAAGCUCCCAGAAGGGCAGUAACUCAUCCAAGGUUGCACAGCUGGCACAGGGCGGAGCAGAAUGUGCCCACCAGAACCCUCAUCUAGCUAUUCGAUGUUUGAGCUUUUUUAAGGGAACAUCAUUGCGGUUUUUCCAAUGAACACAAUCAGCAAAGCCCUGCCCUAGUGGGUGCGUCACCGCAGUCCUACUGAAAAGGACGUGCUCGGGGGCCUUCCCAAGCACCGCUGGCUUUGCUAAACACCUCAGGUCUUCACCCCUGCCCAGCUCACACUCUGAGAUCCAAGUCACGACUUCAAUAUCUGGGCCUGGCCAGAGGUGGAACAAUGUUGGCGGAUAGCCAGGAGGCUCCUGGCGAGUUUCUUCCUCUCCCACCCAUUUUUCCUGCUUCCCGGUUAGAUCAGGGUGUUGCUGAGCUCUGACUGCUCUAAGUUUGGGACUGGGGCAGUUGCGGUUCCUACUGGCGUGAAAUGCCUUCCUCCUUUGGGGACGGCCCUCCAGGUUGGCUUCCCCCACAGUCUCAUUCGGCAGAGGCCCCACUUGUGACCCCAGGGCUGUCAUCCUUGCCCAUCCAGGAGCUGCUCUGAGAACCCACACCUUUCCGAGUCACAGUCCCGGGAACACCCCCACCCCCAGGCUGCCGUCGGCUCCGGACGUUUUGAGAUGGGAUUGAGCAACUGUAACGAAAGCGGUUUCCCAGCACAAGAUGAAAAUGUGGGCCCUCUGUUCAAAGAUCAGGAAUUUGAAGACGGCAGAGAAUGAAACCAAGCUGGAUCCUGCGAAACACAGCCCCGCGAGGCUGCUCAGGGUGCCUGCCCCGGAUGCCAUGCUGUUCGCAGGGUCCUGUAACGAACUCAUCACGAGGUGAAGGCAGGUUGUGUGUAUUUGGAAAAUGAUUACAGGCCUCAUUCUACAUUUAUCUCGACUGCGGGAGUCCCAAGCAGGCAGGCCACAUGUAGCCGACCAAAACCAGAGCCCAAGGCUGCCCAGUGUGAAUGUAGGAGGAGACGCAGACGUGCCCAUGAACUUAAGGGCUGUGUGUGCCACUCAGGAGACCAACAACGUAAAAGAAACAAACAAAACGACCCCUCCCAAACCCUCCAGCUUCCGAGCAGCAUUUUCACACACCCUACUGGGAAGGCAGCCUCUAUUAUCCAAAUCCCAGUGAAAUGGCUCGCCGCUUGCCAGGUGCCCUAAUGUUUUCCUAUCUUUCGAUUAUCGAUAACUUGAGUUUUUUAACACUCUGUGUGCGGGUGAUGCCGUGAGGGCUGCGGCGAGCCGAGAACAGGUCAGGGAGGUGAGCUUACACAGGGCCAUGGAUUUUGCUUUGCUUUUUAUUCCAGGUGGCUUCAGGCAGGGAUAGGGGGAGCCCAGGAAGGGAGAUAAAGUUCUCCGAGGCCAUCCCUUCUGUUAGCUAGAAGAGAACCGAGAAACUUUCAUUUCAUCAGAAUUUUUCUUUUUUAAAUCACUUAAAGAUGCGCAGACUCCAACAGCUUCUCCUGACCUCCAGCCACGGGCAUCCAUAGCCGUGGCCUCGGAACGGCUCUUCCCACUUCCCUCCCUGCUUUCUGGGCCACACAGAAGCCAGUCAUCUUAAAAACCAUGAGCUAGUUUUACACCCCUGCUUAAGAUGUUCGCGUGAGUUCCACCGGCACUGGAACAAACGCCACACGCAUUCGCGCCGUCCACCCGGCCCUGCUGGGUCCGGCACUUGCCAUUGCCAUGCCCUCCCGGCCCGCCCUUGACUCCAAGUUUACCUGCGCAGCCGUGUUCGUUCUUCACAGGUCCUUGAACCAGUCAAGUCCGUUGGAGUUUCAUGGCCUUUGCCUCUGCUGUUUCCUGUCUGGACUGAGCUUUCCGCAUGUGGAAAUAAGCAGAAUAACUGCUCGCCCAUGUGCCUGCUCUCACCCUGGGGCCUGGGGAGAAAAUGAGGUUCACCUGGGUUGCUUGGGUGGCCCCAGCAUAACCACAUGAGCCUUGAAAAGAGAAGACUGAGGCCCAGAAGAAACCGAUGUGCUCUUGCUGGCUUGGAGGUGGGAGGAGCCGCAUGGGAAGGCAGUGAAUUCUGUGGGCAUCGGUGAGCUUGGGAGAGGCCCCAAGCCCCAGGUGAGAGGCACAGCCCUGGCCAGCAGCUUGGUCUUAGCCCCGUGAGGCUCUGAGCAGCAAAGACCCGUCUUCUGGCCUCCAGAUCAGACAUCUCACAAGUGUGGUGUUAAGAGUUGCUGCAUUUGUGGUCAUUCGUUGGAGCAGAAACAGUCUUGCUUCCUAUGUGUCGCUGCGACCUACAUCCCCGUGUGGUUUAUGGUAGUGGAUCGACUUGGAGCUACAGCUGCUGGCCUACAGCACAGCCAUAGCAACUGGGGAUCCGAGCCGCAUCAGUAACCUACACCA
This is a long non-coding RNA of Sus scrofa (pig), 11413 nucleotides long. RefSeq lists it as uncharacterized. NCBI's taxonomy places the organism in Eukaryota, Metazoa, Chordata, Mammalia, Artiodactyla, Suidae. The record is from RefSeq and is a predicted model, not a curated record.